Molecule: ribosomal RNA, 451 nt
Filed under: Neisseria sp. oral taxon 014
Lineage: Bacteria; Pseudomonadati; Pseudomonadota; Betaproteobacteria; Neisseriales; Neisseriaceae
Description: bacterial SSU rRNA
Rfam family: Bacterial small subunit ribosomal RNA
Source: RNAcentral
AUUGAACGCUGGCGGGCAUGCUUUACACAUGCAAGUCGGACGGCAGCGGGGUAGUGCUUGCACUACUGCCGGCGAGUGGCGAACGGGUGAGUAACAUAUCGGAACGUACCGAGCAGUGGGGGAUAACUAAUCGAAAGAUUAGCUAAUACCGCAUAUCUUCUGAGGAAGAAAGCAGGGGACCUUUGGGCCUUGCGCUGUUUGAGCGGCCGAUAUCUGAUUAGCUGGUUGGUGGGGUAAAGGCCUACCAAGGCGACGAUCAGUAGCGGGUCUGAGAGGAUGAUCCGCCACACUGGGACUGAGACACGGCCCAGACUCCUACGGGAGGCAGCAGUGGGGAAUUUUGGACAAUGGGGGCAACCCUGAUCCAGCCAUGCCGCGUGUCUGAAGAAGGCCUUCGGGUUGUAAAGGACUUUUGUCCGGGAAGAAAAGCGCGAUGUUAAUACCAUUGCGU